This 596-nucleotide ribosomal RNA is filed under the name uncultured Alphaproteobacteria bacterium. RNAcentral describes it as "bacterial SSU rRNA". It matches the Rfam family "Bacterial small subunit ribosomal RNA", at positions 45 to 673 of the family's 1533-position model. Lineage: Bacteria; Pseudomonadati; Pseudomonadota; Alphaproteobacteria. The record is from RNAcentral.
GGCUUAACACAUGCAAGUCGAACGAGAAACUAGACUUCGGUUUAGUGGAAAGUGGCAGACGGGUGAGUAACGCGUGGGAAUCUACCUUUGAGUGGGGAAUAACAACUAGAAAUGGUUGCUAAUACCGCAUACACCCUACGGGGGAAAGACUUCGGUCGCUCUUAGAUGAGCCCGCGUACGAUUAGUUUGUUGGUGAGGUAAAGGCUCACCAAGACUACGAUCGUUAGCUGGUUUGAGAGGAUGAUCAGCCACACUGGGACUGAGACACGGCCCAGACUCCUACGGGAGGCAGCAGUGGGGAGUAUUGGACAAUGGGCGCAAGCCUGAUCCAGCCAUGCCGCGUGAGUGAAGAAGGCCUUAGGGUUGUAAAACUCUUUCGGCAGGGAAGAUAAUGACGGUACCUGCAGAAGAAGCUCCGGCUAACUCCGUGCCAGCAGCCACGGUAAUACGGAGGGGGCAAGCGUUGCUCGGAAUUACUGGGCGUAAAGCGAGCGUAGGCGGUUAAUCAAGUUGGUGGUGAAAGCCCAGAGCUUAACUCUGGAACUGCCAUCAAAACUGAUUGACUAGAGAUUGGUAGAGGAAAAUGGAAUUCCUAG